Molecule: unclassified non-coding RNA, 635 nt
Filed under: Hevea brasiliensis (rubber tree)
Lineage: Eukaryota; Viridiplantae; Streptophyta; Magnoliopsida; Malpighiales; Euphorbiaceae
Source: RNAcentral
AACUUCACCUUUUGAAUUGAUCACCUUGUCACAUGCAGCCAAAACAAUUUCUGAAGCACCUUUAGUAUGGGCUCGCAAGCCUCCUUGAGGAAGCUCCACCACUACACCCAUUCGCUUUUUUGUGGAGUUGAAAGGCUCAACUUUAAUAAGUUUGACUGCCUGUCGCUCUGCUUGAAAAUCUCCACCUAGAGACAAGGCAAACUCCAACAAAGCACUCUCAGUAGGCGUUCCCAAUAUCUCGAGUUUGCCAUCUUUACUAAUAACAACUUCACCUCCAGUGUUAUUAAAUAUUGAUUGUAGCAAAAGUUUCACAGAAGAAUCAGGUAUUUCACAGCAGAAGCUUGAAGCCUUGUCAGGUUGGCCGACUUCCUUGAUAUUCAUGCAAAUGCAUGAUUUCACAACAGUCAUAUGAUUGGUAGUCAGUGUCCCAGUUUUGUCGCUGCAGAUAGUUGUUGCUGAUCCCAUAGUCUCACAAGCUGCCAGAUGUCGAACAAGGGCUUUAUCAUUCAUCAUCUUUUUCAUGGCAAAGGCAAGGCUCAAUGUCCCAGCCAGUGGCAGCCCCUCUGGAACUGCAACAACAACAAUUGUAACUGCAACUGCAAAGUAUUCUAGCAGCUCCAAUGCAUCAUCUCCAG